This 1991-nucleotide long non-coding RNA is filed under the name Marmota monax (woodchuck). The record is from RNAcentral. Lineage: Eukaryota; Metazoa; Chordata; Mammalia; Rodentia; Sciuridae.
GGAAACAUGAAGUGCCCAGCCUUGAUUCGUUUCAAAAUUAAACUUACUUUGAAAAGGAAUAGGGAAGUUGAAACAAAUGUUUUCCAUAGGAAACAGAAAGAAGAAGUUGUGAGUAGGAAAAGAGACAAAUGUGAAAGUUUUGCCAGACUUGGUUUGGGAAGAGAAUGUUCUCCAGGGGACCUGAACUCCUCCCUAUGACUAAGCCUCCAGGCUGUGGCGGGAUCUCUCCCCGGGGGCCAUGGGCAAAGUGCAGUUCCCAAGUGUCCCCUCAGAGGCAGCUCUGCUGCCCUCACCCAAGCUGGCCCUGCCAAGGAGAAGGGGUGAGAGGGGGAGCAGCUCUGUAACUGACAGAGGAAAUAUAGUUAUGAAGAUCCUCAGGUCCUGGAAACAAGGCCUCAGUUUUCCUGGAAAAUGAUCAGUUGUUUAUCUCCUUGGAACUUGGAAAGGAUGUCAUGAAUACUAUGUUCUCACCAAGCCCGUGACUGACUCUGCCCUGAAGACUUAACCUCCUGUCCUUGGCAGGAUCAUGUGCCACCAUAUUCUGGGUACAGGAACACUCCUGCUAGGUUUUGUGUCCAGAAUGUAGGUAAAGACUCCACCCACAAGCUGUAGAUCCAAACCCAGAGAACCCAGGAGUGUGUAUUGGAAUGUGAUCUCAAUUGCACUUUACAAUAGAAUUACUUGGAACAAUAUCAGCAUAAACAAGGAGCAGGGAUGAGUGUAGACAGUGUGUUACAAGCCAAGGUUAUGACUGAUUUAAUUUGGUGCACCUGAAGCCAAUAACAAUAAUAAUAAUAUAAAAUAAACCAGUAGCAAGUAUUAGCCUGAUCAUCUAUCGAAGAGACUAAAGCAACCAGUCCCAGAGGUUUGUUUUUUUCUCUUACUCAACUCCAACUGUUAUUAAUAGCUAUUUAACCUAACCUUGAUCUUUAUUCAGACUCAUGGGAGUAAACAAACUUCUGACUUAUGCAAACUCCUGCCUUAGAAUGACAAGUCUUUGAUGCAUAUUUAGUGUUCAAGUUCCAAUAAGUAGGUUUCCAGACAGACUCUUUCUGUGACAAAGGGCUCAUAGAAAGUUCCUAUUAAAUUCUUCCUUUCCUUGUAGGAAAAGUUUGUGUAUCACUAGCUUGUCCAGGAAGCCUUAACAUUGUUCCUUUGACAUGCCUAGGGAGGCCCAGCAUCCUGACCCAUCUCAUACCUUCCAAGACUCAUCAAAACUAGGGACAACCUGGUGCAUUUGAUGGACAGUAAGUGCCCAAAUUCUGGGAGAACUGUUAUUUGGGUUCAGAUCCCAGAUCUGCCACUUACUAACCCUGAGGACUUGGGCAAGACACUUCACUCUUUUUUCUUUCUUUUUUUUUUUUUUUUUUUAGGGGAAGAAAAGUUUAUUAGAGGGCUAUGGUUUCAAAGGUCUUAGUCUGUAGAAGGCCGCCUCCAUUCCUCAGGGCUCAAGUUGAGGCAGAACAUCAUGGCGGAUGAGUGCGACAGAGGGAAGCAGCUCACAUGGUGGUCAAGAAGCAGAGAGAGAAGACUUCACCUUUUUGUAUGAGCAACAUUUUAGCAAUCACAGGAAUGAUGAUUAUGAGGAUCCUACCUAUCAAAGGAGCAAUAAUUGUUCCUCCUUCGCGAUCUGUUGUAAGAAGAAAAAGAGAAAUUGAAUGUACAACAGACAGCUCUGUCUGCACAGAGGAAGCACCCAAUGAAUGUUUAUUGCUGUUCUUUGUCAUAUAAAAACAACCUCUGUUAGACUUUCCUAGAGAGUCAAAGAGUGGGAAAGCCCUUAUCUCUGGCACCUAACCAAUGUGGGUUGGAACACAGUUCUGCUAGUCACUAGCUGCAUAAAUAUUUAGUCUUUUGUUAACUCAUAGAAGUUCUUUUUCUCGUCUGUAACACUGGAAGUGAACAUAAUGUUCCAUCUCAGGGUCAUCAGGAAAAUCUAAAAAGAUAACACAUGUACUUCUUAAUGCCAAGCACAUAAGUGUUCAAUAAAU